CCAGCUGAAACUCUUUGAAAGGCUGUGAGCCUCCCCGGCGUUAUAAAUGCCGAUCAUUCCUCCUACCCUCCCUGUCCCUGGACCCUGUUACCCCCGCGGGAGUUGGUCCUGCCUCGGGCCCCCGUUCGUGACCAGUCCUGCACUCCUCUCCCUGCCCCUGUCUUUUCUGGCAUUGCUAGGUAGACUGAAGCGGCUUAUCCCUUUUCCUAGCGUGGGGUUUUCCUUCCCCGUCCCGGUCCCGAGGGUUUGCGGAGAAAGGCAGGCGGAGGUGGUCCCGACCCCACAGCGCCCCGCACCCUACCCUGGCCUGCUGGUAUCUGUCCUCCCUGCCCGCAGACAGGGAAGUGGCGGAGGGGAGCUGAGCCCUCUCCCAACCUCGAAAUGACGCAGCCCCUGUUCCAGCAUCGUCUCCCGUUUGGGCUGGCUCCAUUUCAGAAGCUGUCUCCCCCCACCCCCUUCUUCCCAGCCUUUCUCCUUCCUCCUCCUCCUCGCCUCACCGUCACUCUCAAACAACCCCCCCCCCUCCCCACGCCUCGCUCCCGCUUCCCCCCGCCGCCCCAAACUCCUUCCUCAGGACCGUGGGAUGCGGGUGAGCUCUGGUGAGAGUUGCCGGUCUCCAUUUCUAAGCGGGGAGCCGCCGGGAGCGACCGACCCUUCUGCCCCACCCCACUCCCCCGCAUCCCGGGUGCAACCGGAUGGCAAAAAUCAAAACUGGCUCCAAUUUACCCCAGUUGUCUUCCUUUGAACACUCAUAAGGCCUACUCUUUUCUCCAGUCUUGGUAUGUGGAUUUCUCUCUCUCCAAGUAAUUCCUUAGCAUACCCUUGAAUGACAUCUACCACACAUAAGUUUUUCAACCCACAAGGCUGAAACAACUUCCCUUAACUGAAAUGACCCCAGCACAGCUAUUCUCUAGAAGACACCCUCCUUGAUUUCUUGGGGGGUCCAUAAGAUGGCUGAAGUUGGAGAACAGCAAAGACUUGGAACAGACAUUGAGGUCCUAUUGCUCCUGUCGGAAACUUCUGUUGACUGCAGCGUGAGUUGGAUGGGACCCAGAGAAACCAAAUACAGACAAGUAACGAUGAGUUGGCCAUACAAGCGAGGAAAAUCACAGAUAACAGAUUUGGUGUACAGCUGAGCACUCUUAGUGUCUUGUCACCAAAAGCCCCUCCUGACGUGUCCAGAGGAAAGCUGCAAGCAUUUUGAACAGGCACACAGGAUGAAGAUGCUGCAAUAUGCUUCUGAGGAAAAGGAAGUUUCUCCCCUCACCUCCCUUCCCUGACCAGUGUGUGAUUUCCAGCUCCCGAGUCACAGAACCACUUGCAGGAACGGCUCGGGAGAGUUUUGGAAGAAAGGAAAGGGAAAAAAGGAGCCGCAUUUUUAUUUAACAGGAGAAGGAGAACAUAAAGAAAAGAAAGGUGUUCUCAAGAAUGUAGCCUGCAGCCUUGUCAGGUAGCAUUUCUUCAGAUGGUUUUUUUCUCACCCCUUUCCCACCCCAAGAUCUCUCUUCAUCAUUUUUUUAAACAUCUCUUCUGGGACAGAGACAUGAAAGUGAAUUGUGGGUCAAAGGCAAGAAUUAGGGGUUGCCAGGUCUGCUUUCUGAUGGCUUUACUUUAUCUUUGUGUCCAAGCUUUUGCCAGUUAGCAGGUACUGUGGGUUAUCCAUUCCAGUCACAUCAUUUUCUGCUUGAUGACAAGCAUCACACCUUCAUCCAUCACAUUUACAUUUCAAACUGCCACACUGCUCUAUUGAUUAAUUAUUUAGCAGCUCUUGGCCACUUGUGAGCGUUUCUGUGCUCACGUUUCACGGGGAAGGUCCAUUCUUUUUAUUUACGUGCAGAUUUGUAAAGCUAAAAAAAAAAAAAAAUAAAGCCUUUAUCAUGCACACAUGCCUCUAACCCAUGUGUGUGUGCUUGUAACCAUGCACACGUGUGUGAAUAUUUGUGUGUGUGUGUGUGUGUGUGUGUGUGUGUGUGUGUGUGGUGGUACAAUUAGGUGCACACAGAGAGCAGAAGCAGGUAACCUGAUCAAUAAGCACAUGCUCACACUGAUAAUAGAUUUCUGAGUUUUCAGAGCACUGAACAGCAGAUCAAUGAGACCUUGCAGGUGUGCAGGAGCUGAGAAUUGCAUCAGCUACAUCAUGCUCCCUACAGGCCUGCAGGGAACACAGACAUCGUCCUCUGGGCUUUGUCACUUUGAGCAAAAACAGGAGGAGCAUUUUUGCAGGUGCCUGCUAAUGACUGUAUUUCUUCCAUAUCACAGUCAGGAAAGGGCAGCCUCUGAACAAGACAGGAGAUCCAAUUCGACCUAGGGCUCAACUUGCCCCAGAAAAUCACUCCACCUUGUCUUUUCCUCAAUUCUCCUUUGAUGAAAUGCAGAAUGGUGAUCUAAUCUUAUAGUUCUUUUGCUUGCUUUUUAAUUUUUUUUUUAAUUUGAGAUAAGAAUCCACUGUAAGAAUAAAAUCCAUCUGCUCAUCUGAAUAUAUGGGUUGGCUCAGAAAUCUGUAUCUGGAAGAGUGAUAUUUGGCCUUGCUUCUGUUCCCUGGGGCACCCUGGGCACUCUGCUUUAGCUGGACGCUCUCCUGAUCCACCACCACCCCUCACCCAGCAAUUCCCAUGAGAGCAAUCUGUAAUCCUUUGGUGUCCCAGGUGAUGGGACAUUCCAGAUUGCCCUCUGAUAUUGGUAACUGCUUGUCCAAAGAUUCAUGUCUCUAGAAGGAACAGCUGCAAGAGGAAAACAAGAUGCACUAUUCCAUGAUGGGAAGAAAAAUGUUUUCAACAAAGGCUUUGGAAAAAUCAUCACGCACUUAUGUUGGAGCAGAAAAUGAGGAACAGCCAUGUAGUGAUGAAUUACGUAUUCCAGUCUGCAUAAGUAUGAAAGAAGAAAGGCAAAUUUUGAACAAAAUCUGCUAUACUGAGGAAAAAUUUGUGUCUCUGCAGCUGACAGGUACAAGCUAUCUGAGGCUCAUGGUCACCUUUUAUUAGCAAGGAGAGCAAUCCAAAAAUUUCAGGUGAAGAACUAAUUCCACCAUGACCGUGGUCUAGGUAGCUCUCUCUCUGGUGCUGCUUCUGACAGGUCCUGAGCAGACAGGUACAGCCUCACCAAAGGUGCUCUGGUUUAAGCCAGCUAAUCCAGCCCAUCAAGGCAGCUUGCUGCCAAGAUGUUCUCACUCAGGAUGUGGAUGGCAAAGAGCAAGCAGAUGAGCAUCGCUGUGGAAAAAAAAUCUGUCAUAUUGUACUGUAUGUAAAAGCUGGGCAAAGUAUGUUUUUUUGUGUAUUGGUAAGAGGUCCCUCUGGUAUUAAAUUACUUAAUGAGAUGUCUAUUGCAAUUAAAAGAGUCAUAACAUUUAUAUUAACAUUUUAAAGCUUGCUUAUUUCAGGAGUGUCAGUUUACAUGAGUCUAAAUAGGCAAUAAUGAACAUGAUGAAGUAUUCCAUAUUAAAACCGAGUACUGUGUAACUGUCUAGUAAAAUCUUAAUAUUAAACUAUACUGUAUAACUUACAGGGCAGUAUAAAAGCUUCAUAUGUAGAUGUAUCCCAUCCCGAAUCUCAAAUAAUGGACUUAGAAUUAAAUAUGAAUACAAAAUAAAAGGAAAUGCAUUUAUAUGUAAUCUUAAAGAAUACCUUUACGUGACAUAUCUAUUUAAAAUGCUUACAGUACACUUUGAUGGAUGAUACAGUCAUUUUCAGAAACAGCAAACCAUAAUUUAAAGACAGUGUGUAAUUAUUUAGCAGCAAUAUUUUCUAAGUUCAGCUCACUUGUACCUCUGACUCUAGAUGCUAGAACUAGAAUGUGUAUCAGUAAGCCCUAUUAUUUCAGAUGCUUACCUGGUGAAGGAAAAAGAUAUGUGCCGCAUUUAAAAUACUACUUAAGGAGGAAGAGAAGUAGGUUUAUUUAUGCAGACUUAGUUUUAAAAAUGCAGAGAAUGUAUUAAUUUCAGACCCCACCCACAGCAGCUAAGUAUAUUCUUUAUUUUGUUUUUCAAUACAUCUUCCAUAGUAUAUAUAGACUGUAAGCACAAGUUAGUCUUUUUAUAUUUUAAAUUUCCUUAAGAUGCUCAUUGCUGCAUUAACAUCUGUUCUGAAACUCCCACCACCACAGCAAGGAGGCAUCAAUUAACAUCAGUUUGGAAGUGACAGAUAUUCAGUCAAGGAGGAAUAAAACCCUACAGCAAUUUUUGCCAGAAAAAUCUCAUCAUGUGUGCAAAGAUGCAGUCUACUGGUAGCACCAGUUCGAUAUUUGAGGGGGAUGGAUCACUGGAAGAAUGAGGUUUGCCUCUCAUGAAAGGAGACAUGCAUGAGCUCUUAAUUGUAAAUUCAAAGAUAAGGCUACUGAACUGAGAGUGACCUGGCUCUGGUCCCAGAAAGUUGUGUUUCACUAGAUGUAGUUUCUACAGCAGAGAAAUCUAGCAGUGUGAGAGGCAGUCUUUCAGGCAGCUAGAUGCACUUGCCAGUGAAAUAAAUAUUGGAAAACUGAAAUUUACCCAGGAUGCUGUGAGCUACUAGAAUGGACCACAGAUUACCUGACACCUGGUCAUCCUGUAUCACUUAAUGUGCAAGGUAGUAGUUACUAAAACAGUGGAUCUUUUUGGCUGGAUUUCAGGACUGUAUCCAAGAACAGGGGAGUUAAAAAAUCCUGCUAUUUGAUCAUGGAAAAUAUACAGUGUUAUGCAAAUAUCCAUGUCCAAGAAAUAAGAAAAGAGCCUUGAACCAUCUUGGCAAUUGUACAGUUCUUCCAACAGAUUCCUUUGCUUUUGCAUGCUAUGACUUUACAAGCUAGAGUUUCAUUGAGUAUGGUUGAGAAAUCAGUGGAAAAUGAUGAGUGAAAAAAAGUAUGCACUGUUAGUAUAUUGCUUUCCUUGACAAAUAAGGAAUAAAUCCUUAAAAAGUGAAGAAACUAAAUUAAACUAAACAGCAAGUAGGGCUGUGUUGUUGUGGUUUUUGUUUUUUUGAUUUUUUUUUGGUGGGAUGAAUACUUUGGCUGCAAACUAAUUUGAGAUUAUAAGGGUAUGAAAAUUUUCUGUGAAAAUGUUUCCCUUUCUAAAAGGAAACUGCUGGUUUUCUAGUGAGGAAAAGGUUACUUUUAUAAAGUGUUUUCUAUUGAUCUGAUCAACAUCUCCAUGAUGGAAUGACAAGAAUUGAACAAAUGUUGCUGAACUAUGAAGAACUUAGAUCAACUGAUUUUGGGCCAAGAAAAGCUGUUGUAAAGGGUGAGGCACCACCAUUGGCAUGAAAUACACUGAUAGUACUUAUUCCAGUGGUGAAGGCAAUUUUUAAGUAUAAGGAAAGAUUCAGUGUAAAAAUAAAAUGUAAAUAUAUGUAUAUGCACAGACAAAGACAAAGAAGCAGAACAGUGUAUAAUUAUCAGACAGUUCACAGGAUAACACCAACAUAACUUUGGUCCUUGUGAUUUUUAUUCAGCUAAAGGUCAUUUAUUCUGCUCUGAAGAUCUUGAUUUUCUAUUAAUGUAAAGUUGGAGAACGAAUAACAAGAUUUUGUCCUAAGCUCAUCCAUGACAAUCAGGUUUAUCCUGGCACAACUGUGUUCUGAAUAAAGUGUUCAAUUACCACAAUAUGUGACAUAUUUCCACAGGGCAGUCAAGAGAAUAAACCUGAAUGUGAUCUGUAUGCUGCAGAUCUGGGACUGAAAUAAGGCUGAGCUAUAGGUAUUUGUUUAUGUGUUGCUCACUUCUCCCUGACCAACUUUCUAUCAUUACAUACUCAGCAGUAUCAUAAACUUUUCUGUGAGGCUGCAUGCCUGGGCAGUAAAGAUAAAUAAAGAGCGAUUCACUACAAAAAUAAUAUAGAGGAAGAACAGCAGCUGAUAAAAAGAAUUCAUUGAGAAAGAGGAGAAUGAUCUAGGAUAUCUGUUCCUUCCUGAAAUGCUCACAAGUUUAUCCAUCAUGCUGAAUGUGUUCUAGCAUAAAGGAAUCCUGUGGCAUUUGGGAUCACAGAAAUGUUCAGUUGUAUCACACUGGAAGCCCAUUUGGUCCAGUGUCUUGUGAACAGUGAUCAAAGUCACAACUUCAAAGGAAGAUGCAAUGAAGUAUGAACAAGACAUGGAAAUACCAGCUUUUGGUUCUUCUUUCCUCUUCCAGACAACAAGUGAAUGGCUUGUGCUUUGUAGCUAGGGAAUUUCUGCCUCUUUCUGCUUUAAAAUUGUUUUACUGUCACUAUGUAUGUUCUUCUCACAUACAAAAACUUUUCCAUUUAGUUUCAACUAAAUCAAGAUAAAGUGUAAUCUUAUUGCAUUAAUUUCUCCUCAUUUUAUGGACAUUGUGUAAUUAACCCUCCAUAUACAUAUCUGCCUAUCUUAGUGGCAGUCCAGUAGUCUUUGAAAGGCUUAGGUGAACAAGUUAUAACAAUCUGUUCAAAGAAUUCCAUCCCCUUUGCUCUUCGCAAUGCAAAAGCUUCAAAGGUCAGUUCAGAUAGACUUUGCACACUCCAGGGGUGUUAAUAAUUUAAACUCAUGGAUACAUUUCUCAUGCAGGCAUAUAGCAGCUUUUAAGGUAUAUUUUCUGUGUUCAUGUGUUUAUUUCUCAAUAAUUGAGCAAGAUAAUGAAAACUCUAGUAGAGAAGGUAGUUGCUAGGAAGGGACCAUCAAUAUCUUGAUGGAGACAGAAAGUAUUUUGACAGACUUGAAAUGACACAGUAGUGCAAUUAUUUCUCUUUCUCCAGUUAUUCCAAGGUUAACAAUCUCUGUUGAAUUUCCUCAGGAAGGAAGAAAAAUUCUUUUGCUUUGGGCACACACACUCGACUCAAAUUUUUGGAGGAAAGUAUUUCUUCCUUCUGUCCUUGUACUGCAGCUGAGGAUAAAAGAAGAGGUAACACUUCCCUGACAAAGCCUUCAGACCAUCUUUCUGUAAAGUUCUUACAUGAUAGUAAGAAUACAAGAAGGUCUAAGUGCUAAAUACACCUGAAUUUAAAAGUUUUUCUCAAUUUCAAGUAUAUGGAUUACAUUGACUGGGAUAUGGUGCUUUCCUUACUGUGCUAAAGACCAAAUAGUGUCCUGACUUGUGCACCACUGGAAUGUUGAAUUUUAUUUUGCAGACUGGGAUAAAGUUCUUAGGGAUUUGCAAAUUUUUAAAAGGAAAAAUUUGUAAUCUGGCAGUGAUCACUGAUUUAUUUUAUGUCUGGGUCUUGAAAAAGACCUAUAGUCACUCCUUUGAGUUUGGCAGAACUUUCAAGUGUGAAAAAGGGAAUAAAUGAAAAGCCAUGGAAGAAGUCAGAUUUUCUGUGAGGCUGUGUACCAUAAAAAUAAUAACAAGGGGAAAUGGAAAACCACUAAAAUAAAAGACUGCCAUCCAGUUUAUGUCCACACAUGGUAAGGUAUUAUCAAACAGUUAUUUCUCUCAGUUAAUCAUUAAAUGCACUCCUACACUCUUAAAAACUAAUGUGAGCAACGCUUUUAGGACAGAAAAGUACACACAAUGGAUAUGUGAGUAAGAAGCAUGUGAGCCAACAAAAUAACAGCUCUCUCUUCUGUAUAGCUCUAUAUUCUUUUACAACUAGGUUGUUUCAUUAAUAAU
Molecule: long non-coding RNA, 7524 nt
Organism: Catharus ustulatus (Swainson's thrush)
Lineage: Eukaryota; Metazoa; Chordata; Aves; Passeriformes; Turdidae
Exons: 11
Source: RefSeq, a predicted model, not a curated record